AUGGCGGGCUUUCAAAAGCUCCAAACAUAUGUGGACGGUUUUAAGCCUUGCAAGGUCAUGACCAGCUUAGGGGAGGUCGCUUUGGACAAGCGUGGUAAACCGAGGAUCGAGCCUCGUUUUGUUAAUACCAAGCUAUUGUUGUCGUGCAAGACUGUUUUGGCCGAGGACACUCUGCUGGGUAUCUGUUUUUCUGCAUGCCCGUCUUUUACUUGUAAUAAAUUUCAGUAUUUUAUGUUUGAUUUCUCCCCGUGAUUCUGACCACGUUUUUAACUUUGCAGGUAGGAUGGCAGAUCUUGCUAGUGAGCUUGUCAGGAUAGCUGCUGAACAGAAAGGAGAGAAGGCUAGGAAAAAGGCGAGGAGGGCCAAGCCAACCAUUUUGAUGGGCGAUCAGGGUGCCUCGGGGAGCGUCUCCCAAUCUUCCCCGGUAGGCAGUUCAGCUGGGACUCCGGGUGGUCGUUCGAAGAGGCAGCGGGAGGAGCAGAUGACGCCCAUCGUCGACUUGUCGGAGGGGGACGGUGGCUUUGUCCUCCCCGCGUGUUUGAGCAACCGGUGCUUUUUUGACAAAAAUCCCCUCCAGGUGCCUGCAUCGGAGAAGAAUUAUAUACUGGGCGCUUCUG
Molecule: long non-coding RNA, 617 nt
Filed under: Trifolium pratense (red clover)
Lineage: Eukaryota; Viridiplantae; Streptophyta; Magnoliopsida; Fabales; Fabaceae
Description: long non-coding RNA (TPRA_LNC010190)
Source: RNAcentral